CCCUGACUGCUUAGAAAAGAGAUCUUGUGUUGUCCCAGACCCUACUGCUUUGCCCCUUCCUACAAGAUAUCCUAUUUAGACUUCUCCCCUUGCCAGUUUUGUGGUCACUACCAUGAUGACCAACCUUGUCGAUGCCUGAACCACUUCUAUUACAAGUGUAAGAGUACACAACAUUUGCUGAAGGAUUUCCCAAAGAGGCCCAAGGACCUUGCCAGACCUGUUGCCUAGGGAUGUGUUUACCAU
Molecule: long non-coding RNA, 243 nt
Filed under: Carica papaya (papaya)
Lineage: Eukaryota; Viridiplantae; Streptophyta; Magnoliopsida; Brassicales; Caricaceae
Description: long non-coding RNA (CPAP_LNC009619)
Source: RNAcentral